Molecule: transfer RNA, 76 nt
Filed under: Metamycoplasma hominis
Lineage: Bacteria; Bacillati; Mycoplasmatota; Mycoplasmoidales; Metamycoplasmataceae
Description: Mycoplasma hominis tRNA-Lys
Rfam family: tRNA
About the family: Transfer RNA (tRNA) molecules are approximately 80 nucleotides in length. Their secondary structure includes four short double-helical elements and three loops (D, anti-codon, and T loops).
Source: RNAcentral
GCUAGUUUAGCUCAGUUGGUAGAGCAACUGACUCUUAAUCAGUGGGUCGGGGGUUCGAUCCCUCUAACUAGCACCA